GGGGGCGACAGGUUUCGACGGCGUGUUGGAGGGUCUGGAGGAGCAGGUCGAGUUACGCCCGUAAUCCUCGAUAAACAUUCGGGCAAGACGAUAAACGUCGACAAUAAUUACGCUUUAGCGGCUUAGUUCCGCUACGUCGAAGGAUGGGCCCGCUGCCGGUUCACCGGAGACGUCACUUAAGGCAGAUGCUCUGCUCGCUGUCCGGCUCCGCACGAGUGGAAAAGACAAGGGGUCUCGGAACACGGGAGGUCGUUCUCUGCCGACCUGUGGACGACAAUUAAGCGAGAACUAAACCUGUAGCGCCGCCACGGCUGGCCCACGUCGGACGGGGGUUCGAUUCCCCCCGCCUCCACCA
This 355-nucleotide transfer-messenger RNA is filed under the name Synergistaceae bacterium. It matches the Rfam family "transfer-messenger RNA". From Rfam's summary of the family: Bacterial tmRNA, also known as 10Sa RNA or SsrA, is named for its dual tRNA and mRNA-like properties. Its role is to liberate the mRNA from a stalled ribosome. To accomplish this part of the tmRNA is used as a reading frame that ends in a translation stop signal. Lineage: Bacteria; Thermotogati; Synergistota; Synergistia; Synergistales; Synergistaceae. The record is from RNAcentral.